This 396-nucleotide long non-coding RNA is filed under the name Ananas comosus (pineapple). RNAcentral describes it as "long non-coding RNA (ACOM_LNC044429)". Lineage: Eukaryota; Viridiplantae; Streptophyta; Magnoliopsida; Poales; Bromeliaceae. The record is from RNAcentral.
CAGGAGGGCCACAUCCGUACUGAGUGCCCAAGAGGUUCUUCACCGGCACCGUCGACUGCAUCGGCACCGGCUCUACCAGCCGUCAGCCACGGGACUCCGUCGACACAGUACCAGCCUGGGCGGCCACCCGUCCAACGCCAGAGCGAGGGAUCUCGACAGGCCCCGAGUGGGCGUUUGUAUGCCGCUCAGACUGAGGAGGCGACAGCAGCCGAGGAUGUGGUUGCAGGUAUCAUUUUACUUGAUGGCAUUAGAGUUCGUGCUUUAUUUGAUACCGGUGCAUCGCAUUCAUUUAUAGAUCGGCUGUUUGCCGAGUUGCAUGGCAUCCCUUUGGUUUUCUUGUUGCAUCCGGGACAUGUUGUAGUACCCGACCACACUCUGGAUAUUAAACAGUAUUGC